ACGAACGCUGGCGGCGUGCCUCAUCCAUGCAAGUAGCACGCUGAAGGAGGAGCUUGCUUCUCUGGAUGAGUUGCGAACGGGUGAGUAACGCGUAGGUAACCUGCCUGGUAGCGGGGGAUAACUAUUGGAAACGAUAGCUAAUACCGCAUAAUAGCAGUUGUUGCAUGACAACUGUUUGAAAGGUGCAAUUGCACCACUACCAGAUGGACCUGCGUUGUAUUAGCUAGUUGGUGGGGUAACGGCUCACCAAGGCGACGAUACAUAGCCGACCUGAGAGGGUGAUCGGCCACACUGGGACUGGGACACGGCCCAGACUCCUACGGGAGGCAGCAGUAGGGAAUCUUCGGCAAUGGACGGAAGUCUGACCGAGCAACGCCGCGUGAGUGAAGAAGGUUUUCGGAUCGUAAAGCUCUGUUGUAAGAGAAGAACGAGUGUGAGAGUGGAAAGUUCACACUGUGACGGUAUCUUACCAGAAAGGGACGGCUAACUACGUG
This 494-nucleotide ribosomal RNA is filed under the name uncultured bacterium. Its description in RNAcentral is "partial 16S ribosomal RNA". It matches the Rfam family "Bacterial small subunit ribosomal RNA", at positions 29 to 507 of the family's 1533-position model. The record is from RNAcentral.